RNAcentral lists this ribosomal RNA (508 nucleotides) under uncultured bacterium. RNAcentral's name for it is "bacterial SSU rRNA". It matches the Rfam family "Bacterial small subunit ribosomal RNA", at positions 32 to 516 of the family's 1533-position model. The record is from RNAcentral.
AAUCAACGCUGGCGGCGUGCCUAACACAUGCAAGUCGAACGCGAAAGCCCCUUCGGGGGCAAGUAGAGUGGCGUCCGGGUGAGUAACACGUGGGUAAUCUACCUCCGGGUGGGGAAUAACUCGCCGAAAGGUGGGCUAAUACCGCAUAAUGCAGCGGCACCGAAUGGUGAUUAGUUGUUAAAGCGGGGGACCUUAGGGCCUCGCGUCUGGAGAGGAGCCUGCGGCAGAUUAGCUUGUUGGAGGGUAAUGGCCUACCAAGGCUGCGAUCUGUAGCUGGUCUGAGAGGACGGCCAGCCACACUGGCACUGACACACGGGCCAGACUCCUACGGGAGGCAGCAGUGGGGAAUUUUGGGCAAUGGGCGAAAGCCUGACCCAGCAACGCCGCGUGAAGGAGGAAAUCCUUCGGGAUGUAAACUUCACAAGCAAGGGAAGAGCGCGCAGGGUCGAACAAACUCUGCGUCCGACGGUACCUUGCGUAAGCCACGGCUAACUACGUGCCAGCAGCC